This 492-nucleotide ribosomal RNA is filed under the name uncultured bacterium. RNAcentral's name for it is "partial 16S ribosomal RNA". It matches the Rfam family "Bacterial small subunit ribosomal RNA", at positions 29 to 507 of the family's 1533-position model. The record is from RNAcentral.
AGUGAACGCUGGCGGUAGGCCUAACGCAUGCAAGUCGAACGGCAGCACAGUAAGAGCUUGCUCUUACGGGUGGCGAGUGGCGGACGGGUGAGGAAUACAUCGGAAUCUACUUUUUCGUGGGGGAUAACGUAGGGAAACUUACGCUAAUACCGCAUACGACCUACGGGUGAAAGCAGGGGAUCUUCGGACCUUGCGCGAUUAAAUGAGCCGAUGUCGGAUUAGCUAGUUGGCGGGGUAAAGGCCCACCAAGGCGACGAUCCGUAGCUGGUCUGAGAGGAUGAUCAGCCACACUGGAACUGAGACACGGUCCAGACUCCUACGGGAGGCAGCAGUGGGGAAUAUUGGACAAUGGGCGCAAGCCUGAUCCAGCCAUACCGCGUGGGUGAAGAAGGCCUUCGGGUUGUAAAGCCCUUUUGUUGGGAAAGAAAAGCAGCAGGUUAAUACCCCGCUGUUCUGACGGUACCCAAAGAAUAAGCACCGGCUAACUUCGUG